RNAcentral lists this ribosomal RNA (236 nucleotides) under Citrobacter amalonaticus. RNAcentral describes it as "partial 23S ribosomal RNA". It matches the Rfam family "Bacterial large subunit ribosomal RNA", at positions 2707 to 2925 of the family's 2925-position model. The record is from RNAcentral. Lineage: Bacteria; Pseudomonadati; Pseudomonadota; Gammaproteobacteria; Enterobacterales; Enterobacteriaceae.
CACUGGUGUUCGGGUUGUCAUGCCAAUGGCAUUGCCCGGUAGCUAAAUGCGGAAGAGAUAAGUGCUGAAAGCAUCUAAGCACGAAACUUGCCCCGAGAUGAGUUCUCCCUGACUCUUAAAGAGUCCUGAAGGAACGUUGAAGACGACGACGUUGAUAGGCCGGGUGUGUAAGCGCAGCGAUGCGUUGAGCUAACCGGUACUAAUGAACCGUGAGGCUUAACCUUACAACGCCGAAG